This 406-nucleotide ribosomal RNA is filed under the name Diptera environmental sample. RNAcentral describes it as "eukaryotic LSU rRNA". The stretch from base 351 to 406 matches the Rfam family "Eukaryotic large subunit ribosomal RNA", at positions 1 to 56 of the family's 3401-position model. Lineage: Eukaryota; Metazoa; Arthropoda; Insecta; Diptera. The record is from RNAcentral.
UGUCGUCGCAGUGAAUCAUCGAAUCUUUGAACGCACUUUGCACCUGGUGGCUCUUGUCACCAGGUAUACUUGUUUGAGUAUCCAUAACCAUCUCACCUCCCCCUCGGGGCGAAGUGGACUUGAGAUUCGAUGGUGAACCCGGAAACGGGCUCCGAGUCGUCUCUCUAAAGGCAUGACCGACACUGGAAAGUCUCCUACUGGAGGCCGACAGAGACCAUUGGGAUAACGUCCUACAAUUGUCUCGUUGCCUCAUAAGUGUUGACGGCCCUUGGUCAAUUGGAUCAAUGUCAACAAAAAUUGACAGCGAUCAUUAGGCUUGCAAGUCCUUACGGGCAAGUGACCUAUGUAACGGAUCUCAAAUCAAGUAAGGGUACCCGCUGAACUUAAGCAUAUCAAUAAGCGGAGG